Molecule: non-coding RNA, 30 nt
Filed under: Mus musculus (house mouse)
Lineage: Eukaryota; Metazoa; Chordata; Mammalia; Rodentia; Muridae
Source: RNAcentral
UAGAAAGUUCAAGACCAGACUUACCUUGUA